GUUCCCGAGCGGCCAAAGGGAGCAGACUGUAAAUCUGCCGUCAUCGACUUCGAAGGUUCGAAUCCUUCCCCCACCACCA
This 79-nucleotide transfer RNA is filed under the name Klebsiella pneumoniae. RNAcentral describes it as "tRNA-Tyr". It matches the Rfam family "tRNA". Rfam says of the family: Transfer RNA (tRNA) molecules are approximately 80 nucleotides in length. Their secondary structure includes four short double-helical elements and three loops (D, anti-codon, and T loops). RNAcentral also lists the same sequence under 7 other names. The record is from RNAcentral. Lineage: Bacteria; Pseudomonadati; Pseudomonadota; Gammaproteobacteria; Enterobacterales; Enterobacteriaceae.